Unclassified non-coding RNA from Cyanistes caeruleus (blue tit), 170 nucleotides. The record is from Ensembl. NCBI's taxonomy places the organism in Eukaryota, Metazoa, Chordata, Aves, Passeriformes, Paridae.
UUGACAGCCCCAAAGACCAAAGUGCUCAGUUAAACCUCAGGACAGGUACAUCACCAGCACUGGCUGAGCACGUCUUCCCCACACUGUCUCAAUAAUAAGCAUCAACUGUGUUUGUUUGGAGACUGUGAGCUGCUCCUUUUGCAUCCUGCCCAUUCAGUUCUCAGGUUUCU